CUAAACUCGUGCCAGCAGCAGCGGUAAUACGAGUGCCCCAAGCGUUAUCCGGAAUCACUGGGCGUAAAGGGUGUGUAGGUGGUUGUGUUAGUCUUUUGUUAAAUUCUUCGGCUUAACCGGGGACCUGCGAAAGAAACGGCACGACUAGAGGGUGCGAGGGGUGUACGGAACUCAUGGAGUAGGGGUGAAAUCCGUUGAUAUCAUGGGGAACACCAAAAGCGAAGGCAGUACACUGGCGCACUUCCUGACACUGAAACACGAAAGCGUAGGUAGCGAAUGGGAUUAGAUACCCCGGUAGUC
This 300-nucleotide ribosomal RNA is filed under the name uncultured bacterium. Its description in RNAcentral is "bacterial SSU rRNA". It matches the Rfam family "Bacterial small subunit ribosomal RNA", at positions 497 to 795 of the family's 1533-position model. The record is from RNAcentral.